GGAGCUGUGGCUCAGUGUUAGAGCACCUGCUUAGAAUGCAAAAGGUCCCAGGUUCAAACCCUGACAUCUCCA
RNAcentral lists this transfer RNA (72 nucleotides) under Sphaerodactylus townsendi. RNAcentral describes it as "tRNA-Ser". It matches the Rfam family "tRNA". From Rfam's summary of the family: Transfer RNA (tRNA) molecules are approximately 80 nucleotides in length. Their secondary structure includes four short double-helical elements and three loops (D, anti-codon, and T loops). Lineage: Eukaryota; Metazoa; Chordata; Lepidosauria; Squamata; Sphaerodactylidae. The record is from RNAcentral.